RNAcentral lists this ribosomal RNA (100 nucleotides) under uncultured bacterium. Its description in RNAcentral is "partial 16S ribosomal RNA". It matches the Rfam family "Archaeal small subunit ribosomal RNA", at positions 1328 to 1428 of the family's 1478-position model. The record is from RNAcentral.
CCCUGCUCCUUGCGCACACCGCCCGUCGCUUCACCGAAGUUGGUUCUUGGCGAGGUGGCGCCUAAUUGGCGCUAUCGAACCUGGGGUCAGCAACGGGGAG